RNAcentral lists this ribosomal RNA (253 nucleotides) under uncultured bacterium. RNAcentral describes it as "partial 16S ribosomal RNA". It matches the Rfam family "Bacterial small subunit ribosomal RNA", at positions 524 to 776 of the family's 1533-position model. The record is from RNAcentral.
UACGGAAGGGGCAAGCGUUGUUCGGAAUCAUUUGGCGUAAAGGGCGCGUAGGUGGUUCUGUAUGUCUACCGUGAAAGCAUACAGCUCAACUGUAUUUUGUCGGUAGAAACUGCAGGACUUGAGGCUGGGAGGGGCUGGUGGAAUUCCCCGUGUAGCGGUGAAAUGCGUAGAGAUGGGGGAGAACACUCGUGGCGAAGGCGGCCAGCUAGACCAGUUCUGACACUGAGGCGCGAAAGCGUGGGGAGCGAACAGG